Dreissena polymorpha is the source of this 1849-nucleotide long non-coding RNA. RefSeq lists it as uncharacterized. The record is from RefSeq and is a predicted model, not a curated record. Lineage: Eukaryota; Metazoa; Mollusca; Bivalvia; Myida; Dreissenidae. The transcript is spliced from 2 exons.
CUGACUGUUCUCAAGAGUAUGUGUCAUUUCCUGUAAUUGUCAAAUGUGUGUAGACAACCUCUUUCGCAUUAUUUUCGUAGUUUAUUUAGCAACUGAUUGUAAAUUGGAUCAGUAUUGGAUCGGUAUUUGCAAAAGGACGCAUGCCCGACUGUCCAGAUCGCGAAAUGCUGCUAUUGUCUUCUGAUAAAUCAAUUACACAAGUGAUUACAAAGAGCUGAACUGUCUCAUUACAGAUAUAUAUGAUUAACGACAGUCAGAUAACUUCGGAAAUACAAUUGUCUAACCUUGUGCUUGCGAAGCCAAUGACUAACUUGUGUAAGAAAUUUGGAUGUUAUUUAAGUCAAACAGGCCAAACUACUGAUAAGCAAAACAAUAAUAUUAUCAAUCUGACGUUUUGACCGUUGAAGGACAUUAUAUCAAGUUUGAGUAGUUUAACGUUUCUUUCCAUAGUUAUUUGUAUAUUUUUACAUUUUUUAAAGAAUACUGACUUUGUUGUACCCUCAAGUGUUUUAAAAAUCAUUGUUUUAUCAUGUAGCGUGACAUCUUCUGUUAAGAGUUCAUCCGUCAGUGCGGGUAGCUUUACGCCAUUGUCUCUGCAAAAUUGUCAGACUGAAAAUAUAGCUGUUCACUGAAUGAUUGUAUAUUGUUUAAACUUUUACUUAUUCUAUCCGCUUCCUUGAUUUUAUCACAAUACGAUACAUCUGUGUCGACCGAUUGAGAUCCACUAUCAAGUUCCUUAUGAAUCAUGCAAAGCGCUUAUUCUAAUACAAUUGUAUACGCCCGUUUUAAAAAAACAGGAAGUAUUAUAGUUUCACCUUGGCGGCGGUCGGGCGGGCGGGCGUCGUCCACAGCAGUUUCCGCUCUCUAAUUCAAAUAGUUUUUAUCGGAUCUCCACCAUACUUGGUCAGAAGUUGUAUCUAGACAAUAUCUAGGUCAAGUUCGAGUAUGGGUCAUGCCGGGUCAAAAACUAUGUCACAGGUUCACUUAGUGCAUUUCAAGCAUUUAGCAUGGUGUCCGCUCUCUAAUUGAAGUAGUUUUCAUCCGAUCUUCACCAAACUUGGUCAGAAGUUGUAUCUAGACAAUAUUUAGGUCAAGUUCAAAUAUGGGUCAUGCCGGAUUUAAAACUACGUCACAUGAUCACUGAAACCAUUUCAAGCAUUCAUCAUGGUGUCCGCAUUCUAAUUAAAGUAGUUUUUAUCCGAUCUACACCAAAUUUGGUCAGAAGUUGUGUCUAGACAAUAUCUACAUGUAGGUCAAGUUCAAAUAUGGGUCAUGCCAGGUUAAAAACUAUGUAACGAGGUCACUUAUUGCAUUUGAAGCAUUUUGCAUGGUGUCCGCUCUUAAAUUGAAGUAGAUUUCAUCAGAUAUUCACCAACUUUGGUCAGAAGUUGUGUCUAGAUGAUAUGUAGGUCAAGUUCAAAUAUGGGUCAUGGUAAAGUUAUUAAGUUGUCCAAAGCCUUAAAACGGGCGUAUCUUAUGACAGUUUGGCACUCUUGUUCAACUAUAAAAUUGCCAUUGUUAUUAGUAGUAAUUUUCCUGUUAGAUACAACGACACAAUACAUAUGCCAACAUGCUAUUUUUGUCCACCCGUAAACCACUAUCUUUGGGUAAUUUACGUUACAGUCGUUUAUGUUUUUUCCACGUUCAAUUUGAUUUGUUUUGUUGAUAUAUAUUUUGUGUCCAUUUUUAGCUUUUAGUCAUUUGAAUUUUCACACACUGAUUUAAGUAGUGUGAUUUUCCACUUACUUUUGUUAAUAUUUUGAUUUUGCACACUGGCACUUUUUUUUCAUCGAUUUGUUUGCUUAGUUAAACAUAUGCAUAUACACUUUAAUAUAAAUCACCUGCUCUA